GAUAUAUAAAACGGAAGCAGUCCUAAACGAGGUCAUCAUCUGGGAGGCGCAUACUAGGCGCAACUUGCCCUCUCCCGUCCCGGGGUGUUAUCUGAUUCCGUUUCCUUUGUUUUGUUUCACUUUCGAUCCU
This is a non-coding RNA of Caenorhabditis elegans, 130 nucleotides long. NCBI's taxonomy places the organism in Eukaryota, Metazoa, Nematoda, Chromadorea, Rhabditida, Rhabditidae. The record is from Ensembl.